CCCUCUGCAGGAAGGAUGUGAGGCUGGAGGGGAAGAGGAGGAGUUGAGGCACUGGGGAUGGUCUCCAGGUCUAAAGAGAAUUUCACCCUUCAAACCAUUGCACGGUUGACCUGCAGAAUGAGAUCACCCUGGCUGUUAGCAGUUGCAGUGCUUCUUUAUGCCUGGUGAUUUCUGUUUCCACGUGCCCAGCUCCCAGAAGGUGUGACUUGCAUGGGAAAUCCUGUUUCACCCCAGGGAUGCGGGCAGACAGAGUUUGUCAUUGCCAGGGAGAAAACGUGGCUGUGUCUGAACCACCAGGAGGACAGACGGACACGUGCAUGCCAGGGAAGGGGGACUUAUGCUGAUGGUGAGAAUCGGCGCUAUCUUUCUAAAGGCAAGAGCAGUUACAGACCCACUGUUCAUUACUUUGGAUGUGUCACAUUUGCUAGUAUGACAAGAUGUAUUAUGGACGAGGAAUUUUACAGAUGGAGAGAAACAUCCAUCGGUCGGACAGAAAUUUCAAGCAACAGUUCUUGGAAACCAUAUGGGGAUCAGCCUGGGAGUUCUGCAAGGACUGGGGAGCAACUUUGA
This 570-nucleotide long non-coding RNA is filed under the name Chrysolophus pictus (golden pheasant). RNAcentral's name for it is "lncRNA (ENSCPIG00010014838.1)". The record is from RNAcentral. Lineage: Eukaryota; Metazoa; Chordata; Aves; Galliformes; Phasianidae.